RNAcentral lists this ribosomal RNA (413 nucleotides) under uncultured bacterium. Its description in RNAcentral is "bacterial SSU rRNA". It matches the Rfam family "Bacterial small subunit ribosomal RNA", at positions 505 to 916 of the family's 1533-position model. The record is from RNAcentral.
GUGCCAGCAGCCGCGGUAAUACGUAGGUGGCAAGCGUUAUCCGGAUUUAUUGGGCGUAAAGCGCGCGCAGGCGGUUUCUUAAGUCUGAUGUGAAAUCCCCCGGCUCAACCGUGGGGGGGCAUUGGAAACUGGGGGACUUGAGUGCAGAAGAGAAAAGCAGAAUUCCACGUGUAGCGGUGAAAUGCGUAGAGAUGUGGAGGAACACCAGUGGCGAAGGCGGCUUUUUGGUCUGUAACUGACGCUGAGGCGCGAAAGCGUGGGGAGCAAACAGGAUGAGAUACCCUGGUAGUCCACGCCGUAAACGAUGAGUGCUAAGUGUUAGAGGGUUUCCGCCCUUUAGUGCUGCAGUUAACACAAUAAGCACUCCGCCUGGGGAGUACGGUCGCAAGACUGAAACUUAAAGGAAUUGGCGG